This is a long non-coding RNA of Salvia miltiorrhiza (redroot sage), 855 nucleotides long. RefSeq lists it as uncharacterized. The transcript has 2 exons. NCBI's taxonomy places the organism in Eukaryota, Viridiplantae, Streptophyta, Magnoliopsida, Lamiales, Lamiaceae. The record is from RefSeq and is a predicted model, not a curated record.
GAAAAGUUCGAGAAGCUUGUUCUAGGAUAAUUACUAUAUCAACAUAAUUUAUUUUUGAAAUGUUUUUUAGAAACAAAUUCACGAAAAUAAUCAAAAUUAGGGUUAAUAAGGCUGGAGGAACUAACGUGAAACCAAUAAAUUAAAUAGAGCCCAAUUUGAUAAAAAAAAAAAUAGAGCCCAAUUCUACACUUUCAGCCCAUUUCCCCUCAAAUAUCUCCUCACAUUUUAGGGUUUCAAAAAAGAAUCAGCGCCGCUACUCCUUCACUUUUCUCCCUCGUUCCUCUUCUCUCGGUCCAAACCCUCCUUCUUCCACAUCUUCCGCUCUAACACACACAAAUCAGACGAUCACACUCUCCCUCUGAAUCACUCAACCACCGUUGUCGGCCUGAAGCCAUGGUCGCCGAUGCUCUCCCUCGUCUUCUCUCUCUCUGCCUCACCCUCUACAGCGGCAAAUCCGCCGGCCAAAAGCCCUAUAUCGCCAAACCACCAACUCCGCCCUCACAUCUAGGCACUGAUGCCGCUCCACUUGGCGUCGCCUCCCUCCUCGACGACAAUAAAUACGUCGCCGCCUUCCGCUGUACAACCCGUAUCCAGCCGCCGCCGUCCGGGUUUCAAAUGACAGCGUCUCCCGAUCCCUAGCUCCAGAUCUCGGCCGCCUCCCUGAUUUUCUGUGCUCCAUUGAAAGAUUGAGUCUUUUGCAGAUCUUCCGCGCUCCAUUGAUCUGCUGAGAAAAUCUAUACUAAUAUCAGCUACUACUUUUUAAAUAAAUAUUGUACAGAAUCACAAAUGACAUAAAAACAUGAAAACCAUAAAAACAUAAAAAAAAUAAACAAAAAGAAUUAAAUUAACCAGAGA